UUUUUAGGAUAAGUAUGUCCCGUGCAAUAUUUGGGAUAUACUUAUACUAAAA
This is a non-coding RNA of Pteropus alecto (black flying fox), 52 nucleotides long. The record is from Rfam. NCBI's taxonomy places the organism in Eukaryota, Metazoa, Chordata, Mammalia, Chiroptera, Pteropodidae.